RNAcentral lists this ribosomal RNA (491 nucleotides) under uncultured bacterium. Its description in RNAcentral is "partial 16S ribosomal RNA". It matches the Rfam family "Bacterial small subunit ribosomal RNA", at positions 29 to 506 of the family's 1533-position model. The record is from RNAcentral.
AGUGAACGCUGGCGGUAGGCCUAACACAUGCAAGUCGAACGGCAGCACAGUAAGAGCUUGCUCUUACGGGUGGCGAGUGGCGGACGGGUGAGGAAUACAUCGGAAUCUACUUUUUCGUGGGGGAUAACGUAGGGAAACUUACGCUAAUACCGCAUACGACCUACGGGUGAAAGCAGGGGAUCUUCGGACCUUGCGCGAUUGAAUGAGCCGAUGUCGGAUUAGCUAGUUGGCGGGGUAAAGUCCCACCAAGGCGACGAUCCGUAGCUGGUCUGAGGGGAUGAACAGCAAACUUGGAACAGGGACCAGGUCCAACUCCCUCGGGGGGCCAACAGUGGGAAAUUUGGGACAAGGGGCACAAGCAUAAUCCAGCCAACCCGCGGGGGUGAAGAAGGCCUUGGGGUUGUAAACCCCUUUUUUUGGGAAAAAAAAACGGCAGGUUAAAACCCCGCUUUUCUGACGGGACCAAAAGAAUAAGCACCGGCUAACUUCGG